GGAGGGUGCAAGCGUUAUCCGGAUUCACUGGGUUUAAAGGGUGCGUAGGUGGGUUGGUAAGUCAGUGGUGAAAUCUCCGAGCUUAACUUGGAAACUGCCAUUGAUACUAUCAGUCUUGAAUAUUGUGGAGGUCAGCGGAAUAUGUCAUGUAGCGGUGAAAUGCUUAGAGAUGACAUAGAACACCAAUUGCGAAGGCAGCUGGCUACGCAUAUAUUGACACUGAUGCACGAAAGCGUGGGGAUCAAACAGGAUUAGAUACCCUGGUAGUCCACGCCCUAAACUAUGGAUACUCGACAUACGCGAUACACUGUGUGUGUCUGAGCGAAAGCAUUAAGUAUCCCACCUGGGAAGUACGACCGCAAGGUUGAA
RNAcentral lists this ribosomal RNA (369 nucleotides) under uncultured bacterium. RNAcentral's name for it is "bacterial SSU rRNA". It matches the Rfam family "Bacterial small subunit ribosomal RNA", at positions 527 to 898 of the family's 1533-position model. The record is from RNAcentral.